CUAAGUGUACUUAAAAUACUAUGCAACCAUUACCAUCACUGGUCUCCAUAACCUUUUCAUCAUUCCAAAUAGAAACUUGAUACUCUUUAAUAAUAAAACUCCCCAUUUCUCUCUUCCCCUGCCCCCUACAAUCUCUAUUCUACUACCUGUCUCUACUCUAGGUACCUAAUAUAAGUGGAAUCAUACAGUAGUUGUCCUUUUAUGUCUGGCUUAUUUCACUUCGCAUGUUUUUCAAGGUUCAUCCAUGUUGGAGAAUGUGUCAGUACUUCAUUCAUUUCUAUGGGUGAAUAAUACUCCAUUUAGUGGAUGUUACCACACUUUGCUUAUCCAUUCACCUGGAGAUUGAUAUUUGGAUUGUUUACAUUGUUUGGGCAUUGUGAAUAAUGCUGCUGUGGACACUGGUGUACAAGUAUCCAUCUGCUUUCAUAUUUGGGGCAUAUACUCAGAAGUGAGUUAUAAUGGAUCAUAAUCUAUGUUUAAAUUUUUGAGGAACUUCCAAAUUUUCUACAAUGGCUGCACCAUUUUGCUCUCCCACCAGCAAUGCAUAAGGGUUUCAAUUUUCCCACCUCUUGAAAUUCAAUACAUAUUUUCCAUUAAAAAAAAAGUAAUAGCCAUUCUAAUGUGUAUGGAGUGGUGCACCACUGUGGCUUUGAUUAAUGCUGAACAUCUUUACAUGUCCUUAUUAGCCAUCUGUAUAUCUUCUUGAAAGGAAUGUCUCUUCAAGUCCUUUGCCUAUUUUUAAAGUGGGUGGCUUUUUGUUGUUGAAUUUACACAACUGAUUUUUAACAAAGGCUCAAAAGCAAUUCAGCUGAGGAAAGAUACUUUUCAACAAAUAGUGCUGAAGCAACUGGACAUCCAUAGGUUAAAAAAAAAAAAAAAAGAAUCUCAACCUAAACCUCACAUCUGACAUAAAAAUUAUGUCAAAAUAAAUCAUGAACAUAAGACUAAUGCUUUUAGAAAAUCAUAAGGGGAAAUCUUUGGGACCCAUGCAAGCAUUGCAGGAGGGGGGACCCCUUCCAGGGCCCAAAACUGGGCUCUUGUCUAACACUUGGAA
This 1054-nucleotide long non-coding RNA is filed under the name Capra hircus (goat). RNAcentral's name for it is "lncRNA (ENSCHIG00010012082.1)". The record is from RNAcentral. Lineage: Eukaryota; Metazoa; Chordata; Mammalia; Artiodactyla; Bovidae.